This 845-nucleotide ribosomal RNA is filed under the name uncultured Bacteroidota bacterium. RNAcentral describes it as "bacterial SSU rRNA". It matches the Rfam family "Bacterial small subunit ribosomal RNA", at positions 60 to 894 of the family's 1533-position model. Lineage: Bacteria; Pseudomonadati; Bacteroidota. The record is from RNAcentral.
AGUCGAGGGGUAACAGGGAGUGCUUGCACUCUGCUGACGACCGGCGCACGGGUGCAUAACGCGUAUGCAACCUACCUUCUACAGGGGGAUAGCCCAGAGAAAUUUGGAAUAAUACCCCAUACGAUCUUUACUUGGCAUCGAGUAGAGAAGAAAACUUUUUGUGGUAGAAGAUGGGCAUGCGUCCUAUUAGUUAGUUGGUGAGGUAACGGCUCACCAAGACUUCGAUAGGUAGGGGCCCUGAGAGGGGGAUCCCCCACACUGGUACUGAGACACGGACCAGACUCCUACGGGAGGCAGCAGUGAGGAAUAUUGGACAAUGGGGGCAACCCUGAUCCAGCCAUGCCGCGUGCAGGAAGACUGCCCUAUGGGUUGUAAACUGCUUUUAUACAGGAAGAAACUGUGCUACGUGUAGUGCACUGACGGUACUGUAAGAAUAAGGAUCGGCUAACUCCGUGCCAGCAGCCGCGGUAAUACGGAGGAUCCAAGCGUUAUCCGGAAUCAUUGGGUUUAAAGGGUCCGUAGGUGGUCUAUUAAGUCAGAGGUGAAUGCCUAUCGCUCAACGAUAGAACUGCCUUUGAUACUGAUGGACUUGAGUUAUUGUGAAGUAGUUAGAAUAUGUAGUGUAGCGGUGAAAUGCAUAGAUAUUACAUAGAAUACCGAUUGCGAAGGCAGAUUACUAACAAUAUACUGACACUGAGGGACGAAAGCGUGGGUAGCGAACAGGAUUAGAUACCCUGGUAGUCCACGCCGUAAACGAUGGUCACUAGCUGUUUGACUAACAUUGGUUAGUUGAGUGGCUAAGCGAAAGUGAUAAGCGACCCACCUGGGGAGUACGCUCGCAAGAG